AUUGUGGUUUGGGGGUCAGCACCCACCAGUGCCAGGGCACUACUGGGAGGCUGGGACCUGACCAAAGCCCAUGGUGUCUGUGGCCUGAGGACAGGGUGUCUUGGGGCCAUGAGGACAGGCCACCAAUGGCCGUUGGGUCAUAGGGCCUGAGCCCCAGUGUUUGUCCUUCCCUGGCUCCUUCUGGUUCAGUCCCAUCAGGGCUCUGGAUCCCAAGACGCAGCAUCCAAGGUUCCCUCCAGGAAUCCUGGUGGCUUGGCUUACUUUGUCAUGUUUCAUCUGAUAGCAAAAAUAUCAGAUCGGCUGCACAGAAAAAAUGGCUCAAAGUGCUUAAUGACCAGAAGAAAUCUAGGAGCAGCAAGAAGAUGCCUCAGCUGCUCUACAAGGGAGUCCCAUUUCAGGUGUGGGGCUGGGUAUGGUCAUUCCUGCUGGAUGUCUAGAAGGUGAAAAACAAGGACCUAGGAAAAUACCAGAUACAGCAUUUCCACCGUCAUCCAGAGCAGGACAAACACGCCAGGUGGUGUCAGGAGCCUAGGUCUCCAGCUGGAGGGAACGUCAACCCUGCAGUGGGAGCCCAUCAUGCAUCCUAGGCACAGAUGCUAAUGUAGGCACCGCAG
This 614-nucleotide long non-coding RNA is filed under the name Pan troglodytes (chimpanzee). RNAcentral describes it as "lincRNA". The record is from RNAcentral. Lineage: Eukaryota; Metazoa; Chordata; Mammalia; Primates; Hominidae.